Molecule: ribosomal RNA, 492 nt
Filed under: uncultured bacterium
Lineage: Bacteria
Description: partial 16S ribosomal RNA
Rfam family: Bacterial small subunit ribosomal RNA
Source: RNAcentral
AUUGAACGCUGGCGGCAUGCUUUACACAUGCAAGUCGAACGGUAACAGGCCUUCGGGUGCUGACGAGUGGCGAACGGGUGAGUAAUGCAUCGGAACGUACCCAGAGGUGGGGGAUAACGCAGCGAAAGCUGUGCUAAUACCGCAUGUGAUCUGAGGAUGAAAGCGGGGGACCGAGCAGCAAUGUUUGGCCUCGCGCCUUUGGAGCGGCCGAUGUCGGAUUAGCUAGUUGGUGGGGUAAAGGCCUACCAAGGCGACGAUCCGUAGCUGGUCUGAGAGGACGACCAGCCACACUGGGACUGAGACACGGCCCAGACUCCUACGGGAGGCAGCAGUGGGGAAUUUUGGACAAUGGGCGCGAGCCUGAUCCAGCAAUGCCGCGUGCGGGAAGAAGGCCUUCGGGUUGUAAACCGCUUUUGGCAGGAACGAAACGGUGUCCGCUAAUACCGGGCGCUAAUGACGGUACCCGCAGAAUAAGCACCGGCUAACUACGUG